GGGAUCCGUUUUUGUCAAACUCGGCCCAGGGGGCAGCAGCAUAGAUCAUUUUUUGUCGCGCAAAUAUUUGAAGUUAAUAAUAGUGACUGUUAUGUGCUUACAAAAAAAAUGGAUAAAGAAAACAAAUAUUUUACCUGGAAUGUUGAACAAUUAAAGCAAGAAUUAAAAAGACGUGGACUUCGUACCACAGGUUAAUUUUUGCGGAUGAGAAUAAAGGUUUUUUCCAAUUACAUCAACAAGAUCCUGAUGCAGUAUUCUGGACACCAGACAAUACGCAUUAUAAAGAUAUUAAUGCCGCAACUAAAAUUCCUUUAAUAACCAAGGAACGAGUAGAACUUUUUUUGCAGAGGUAUGAUGUGCUGAAAAAUCUUGGCAAAGAAAUGUACGAAAAUCGAUAUCUUCUUCAUGCCAGGAUAGCACAAAGUAAUAGCUCAAUUUUCAUUCAAGGACAUUGUUUGGCCCAAAUGAAAAAAUCAGUGCAGUAUAAAUAGUGAUAUUCAAAUGUCCAAUACUGGUUUUAUUGAAGGGACUCAUUGCGAAUGUGCUGUAGGUGGUGGUGAUACAGCUCAUUGUAAACACGUCGCAGUACUUCUUUGGGCAAUGGAAGAAAUGGGUAGAGAUAAGAAAAUUACUUUGAGAACAGUUUGUACUCAAAAACUUCAAUCAUUUCAUAAGCCGGCAAAAUCUUUUUUUGGCUCGCCCAUCAAAGCUGAAUUGUUACCAAAAAAAAAAAUCAAAAUCUUGAACCAUUUUCGGAUCCAGUCGUUUUAGAUCCAAGUAUUGUGAACAAACAAUUGUACUGCGAAAAGCAAUGCAAUCGAGCAAUAAAUUUUGCUGCAACUAACCGAACAACGAUGCCAUUCCUUCGUCUGUUCGAACCAGCUAAUAUAUAUUGUGCAAUUUAGGACCAUGACUACACAAAUGUGAAUCCAGAAGAACAGCUGUUAAAUAAAUUUAAACUACUGUCAAUAACCACUGAUGAUAUAAAAGAAAUUGAAGAAGAAACAAGAGAGCAAAGUCAAAGUAAAAGUUGGUUUAAAUAUCGUCAAAAUAGAAUCACAGCCAGUAAUUUUUAUAAAUGCUGCAUAAUUCGAGAUGAAGAAGCCCAAAUACAAUUUUCUAUUAGCUUGAUUAAUCAAGAACCGUUUAAAUCAAAGUCUACAGAUUGGGGUAAAGAAAAUGAAAGUAAAGCGCUGGAAAUUUACGAAUCCACUGGUGUUAAAAUAGAUAAAUGCGGACUAUUUAUAAGUCCAACUCACCCUUUUUUAGGAGCUUCUCCAGAUGGGCUCAUAGCA
Molecule: long non-coding RNA, 1295 nt
Organism: Cotesia glomerata
Lineage: Eukaryota; Metazoa; Arthropoda; Insecta; Hymenoptera; Braconidae
Exons: 4
Source: RefSeq, a predicted model, not a curated record